This 489-nucleotide ribosomal RNA is filed under the name uncultured bacterium. RNAcentral's name for it is "partial 16S ribosomal RNA". It matches the Rfam family "Bacterial small subunit ribosomal RNA", at positions 28 to 523 of the family's 1533-position model. The record is from RNAcentral.
GACGAACGCUGGCGGCGUGCUUAACACAUGCAAGUGGUGCGACGAACCAGGCUUCGGCCUGGGGCGAAGCCGCGAACGGGUGAGUAACACGUGGGCAAUCUGCCCCUUUGAUCGGGACAACCCGGGGAAACCCGGGCUAAUACCGAAUGAGGUGGCGACUCAUGAGAGUCGUCACGAAAGGAAGCUUCGGCCUCCGCGAAGGGAUGAGCCCGCGGCCCAUUAGCUUGUUGGUGGGGUAAUGGCCUACCAAGGCAACGAUGGGUAGCUGGUCUGAGAGGACGAUCAGCCACACUGGGACUGAGACACGGCCCAGACUCCUACGGGAGGCUGCAGUGGGGAAUUUUGCACAAUGGGCGCAAGCCUGAUGCAGCGACGCCGCGUGAGGGAUGACGGCCUUCGGGUUGUAAACCUCUUUCAGCACCGACGAAGCGCAAGUGACGGUAGGUGCAGAAGAAGGACCGGCCAACUACGUGCCAGCCGCCGCGGUAA